Molecule: long non-coding RNA, 1733 nt
Filed under: Astyanax mexicanus (Mexican tetra)
Lineage: Eukaryota; Metazoa; Chordata; Actinopteri; Characiformes; Acestrorhamphidae
Description: lncRNA (ENSAMXG00005010700.1)
Source: RNAcentral
AAAAAAUUCUACUAACCAGAAAUUGUUCCCUGGAAGCAGCUUUUAGAUUACCUACAAUUUCCACUGACACACUUGUGUUAGCAUUAAAUGCUAAUCACCAGAGUACCGGUGUUUAAACUGAUAAAUGUUACUACAUCUCCAGCUCAGCAGGUGGUGAAGAAGGGAGAGCGGGUGGUGCUGCCCUGCCCAGUGAAAGUGGAGUUCAACAAUUUUGCAGUGUUCUGGUUGAAAGUGACGGAAAGCGGAGGAAAGACGGAGCUCAGUCUCUCAGACGGGAGCGGCAGAGUCCGGCUGGCGGAGGAUAAAGUUUCACUGGUGAUUUCUACAGCGAUGGUGUCGGACGCUGGACACUACAACUGCCAAGUGGUCCCACCUCAGAGACCAGAGAUGACAGGAAGUGUUCAUCUGAGUGUCCUCGCGCCCCCUAGUGCUCCACAGCUCUUCCUCCGGGUUCCACAGGACCCUGCAGUGGAGAAGUGGAGCUUACUGUGCACCACCACAGGUUUCUACCCUGCACAGCUGACCCUGCGCUGGACCUGGAGCAGCACCAGAGCACAGGGACCUCCACAGAGCGUUACCUGCCCCCUGAAACCAGCGAAUCAGGAGAUCAACCAAUCACAGACCAGAGCAGUGAACUCUGAACCUAACAGAACCGUAACCCUGCUGUCACACCACUGCGUCAGCGGCCCCGAGGGCCCCGGCCCCGAGACACAGUUAACCAGCACUCUGAUCCUGCCCUCCAGAGCAUCUAUCAGCACUGAUAUCAGAUUCACCUGCACUGUGGAGGACCACCCUGCACUAGAGACCACCCUCUCCGCUACUUUCAACCUGGAGUCGACACCCAACGCAGUGAUUGGAUGCCUCAACAUCGUUAAGAUUGUGGUUCUCUCUGGGAUUUGUGUAUUGAUCGCCACUCUGGAAAUUGUGUAUCUAUGUGAAAGGAGGCCUAAAUACUCCAAAAUGAAGGGUCCGCCGUCAUGCUAACAGAGGGCGAGGAGAGCACAGAGACGCCGCACAUCCGACACGGCCUCGUAAUCGCUGCCCCUGCUACGCCGUGUUGUUCAGGACGGGCUUUUAAACAAAUCUCCCUGACAGCAGCCCCGUCUACAGCCCGGCCUCGCCGCUUUCCCCUGAUAGCUUUCCAUGUAAACAAAAGGGAACAUUUUCACAGCCUGAACACGUGUCUGCCGUCUUAACGAAGUCCAGACAUCUGAAACAAAACUGUGUAUCUGGGUCAACCUCAGAAUACUGCGCCUUUUGGCUCUUAAACCUGAUUUUUCAUCAUGUUUACAAGACUUUAUACAUAGAAAUCAUAUUUUCCUAAUGAAUUAAUCACUUUCUAUUUUCUGCAAGCUGUUUAACAGAGUAAAAGGUAUUGCUAUCUUACACCUCGCCAAGCCUUCAAUCUGUGGCGGUACAUUUCUGGUGUAUUGCUAACUUGGCAACAGAAAACACAGGUGCACCACUGACUGAAUACAACCUAAACAGACAUCAACAGUCAAGAGGUUCAUUGCUAUAUUGGCAACUUCUGUACACCCCCACUUGUUACACACACAACGAAACACAGCAGUGCACAAACCCAACUAUUUACAUUAAGAUUAACAACACAUACCUUUACAGUGUUAACGAGCAGGUCAGUUUCCUCUGCUAGGAAGUGCAGAAGCUCUGCGCCGUUAAAAGAGCAAUCCGCCGAAGUCAGAGUGCACCUGGCUUUUAAAGGGAAUAAAAAAAAG